Molecule: ribosomal RNA, 774 nt
Filed under: uncultured Neocallimastigales
Lineage: Eukaryota; Fungi; Neocallimastigomycota; Neocallimastigomycetes; Neocallimastigales
Description: partial large subunit ribosomal RNA
Rfam family: Eukaryotic large subunit ribosomal RNA
Source: RNAcentral
GGUACACGCUGUGACUAGCAUAUCAAUAAGCGGAGGAAAAGAAACUAACAAGGAUUCCCCUAGUAACGGCGAGUGAAGCGGGAAGAGCUCAAAUUUGAAAUCUUAAGGGGUUUCCCUUUACGAAUUGUAGUUUAAAGAAGUGUUUUCUGUUGAGGUUUUGGUAAAAGUUCUUUGAAUAGGACAUCAUAGAGGGUGAGAAUCCCGUAUUUGACCUUUACUUUCAACUUUGUGAUACACUUUCAAAGAGUCGGAUUGUUUGGGAAUGCAGUCCAAAAUGGGUGGUAAAUUUCAUCUAAAGCUAAAUAUUGGCGAGAGACCGAUAGCGAACAAGUACCGUGAGGGAAAGAUGAAAAGAACUUUGAAAAGAGAGUUAAACAGUACGUGAAAUUGUCAAAAGGGAAGCGUUUGACACCAGUGUUGUUUUUCUGAAAAUCAAUUAAAGAACUGUUUAUGCUAAGUUGUUUAGACUUUAUCAGCUAACUGUUUAGUUUUGAGCUUUUCUUUAAUGCACUUUUCAGUUAACAAGUCAACAUCAAUUUCUUUUGCUGUAAAAAAGCUUGAGGAAGGUGGCUUGAGAUUCGUCUUAAGUGUUUAUAGCCUCUUGCCUAUGCAGUCGGAGAGAUUGAGGUCUGCAGCGUAGAUCCUUCGGGGCUAAAUGCAUUUGUGCUAAGUUAUAGCAUUUCAUAGACAACUUGUUGACUAUGAUUUGUCUUGUAGCUUACUCGCUUAUGUUAUUUUACCUACGCUUAGGAUGUUGACAGCAGUAUAGACUGU